RNAcentral lists this ribosomal RNA (479 nucleotides) under uncultured bacterium. RNAcentral's name for it is "bacterial SSU rRNA". It matches the Rfam family "Bacterial small subunit ribosomal RNA", at positions 29 to 496 of the family's 1533-position model. The record is from RNAcentral.
AGUGAACGCUGGCGGCAGGCCUAAUACAUGCAAGUCGAACGGCAGCACAGCAGAGCUUGCUCUGUGGGUGGCGAGUGGCGGACGGGUGAGGAAUACAUGGGAAUCUGCCCAGUCGUGGGGGAUAACGUAUGGAAACGUACGCUAAUACCGCAUGCGCCCUACGGGGGAAAGCCGGGGACCGCAAGGCCUGGCGCGAUUGGAUGAGCCCAUGUUCGAUUAGCUAGUUGGCGGGGUAAAGGCCCACCAAGGCGACGAUCGAUAGCUGGUCUGAGAGGAUGAUCAGCCACACUGGAACUGAGACACGGGUCCAGACUCCUACGGGAGGCAGCAGUAGGGAAUAUUGGACAAUGGGGGCAACCCUGAUCCAGCCAUGCCGCGUGAGUGAAGAAGGCCCUCGGGUUGUAAAGCUCUUUUGUCCGGAAAGAAAGCAAUCGGUUAAUACCCGGUUGUUCUGACGGUACCGGAAGAAUAAGCACCGG